This 333-nucleotide unclassified non-coding RNA is filed under the name Hevea brasiliensis (rubber tree). The record is from RNAcentral. Lineage: Eukaryota; Viridiplantae; Streptophyta; Magnoliopsida; Malpighiales; Euphorbiaceae.
AAAAGAACAGUGGAGGAAGUGUGUACUGGAUAACUGAUUCUGGAGGAAUUGAUAAUUCAUGAGUCUGAUGAUGUUCAAUCAAGUUGAAGUCUCCGUCGACUUCAGUUGUCACUAGGAUAGUCAAUGAACACUCUGCACUCCAUGAACUUUUAUUUUCCAAUUCAACUGUACUGUGAAGAUAAGCUCUCUUAAACAUGUCGUGGAAGGAUGAAACCAAAUGAACAUCAGCUAUCUUCACAGGCCCACUUGUGUAAAGUGACACUUCAUCCCAGAUCCCAGUGUUCCUAUCCCUUAUUGGUGCCAUCCAGUCCCAACCUUCAACAUAUUGAGCAG